CCUGGCCCUGGCAAAAAUAAAAAAGGCGUCUCCGUGCGGUUGUUGUUCUUGUUUUCCUCUCAUCGGUCGCCGCUGCUCCACCUCUCACCUGAGACGACGGCGUCGCCGGCGCUUCUGCUCAACGUCUCCGGCGCACCCGCUUGGGCCCUAGCUGCCGCGUCCAACUCGCCGCACCCCCAAUCCCACCACUAACCUCGUUGUUUCCCCAGCAUCCAUCGUGCGUCGCGGUCCUAGGUCCAUCGUCCUGGGAUGUGGCAAGGCAAGAGCUUCAGAAACAGGUAGGCCGCAGGAUUGGGUGCUUCAGGUGGUCUGGGAAGGCCGGGCAGCGGUAGUAGCCUGAAGAUGAUGCGCGCACCAUGGGGCGACGAUGGUACUCCUCCCCGGAAAGCCACAAGGAAGGGGUUGCUUGCCUCGGCGGAAGGAGUGGCUCGGUGACUCACAGCCACCGGCGUUGGUGCGGCACACAAGGAAUGCCGGAGUAACACGCCAAGCCGCCGACAUAGGGGGAUGACAACCAUUUUGGUGGAAGGGGAUACCAUGGAAUUGCUCUCGUGGAGGCGACGGCCUGGCGGUGCUGAACUCGCUCCAUGGGCGGCAGCGGCGGCCAAGCACGAGCGCAACCCUAGGCCUCCUUUGCGUGUAUGCCGCAAGAAUCAGCCUAUAUGGGCCCAGCCAGCUCCCCGCACACCCUUUCCUUUUCCUCUUGGACUAAAUCUGGUUAUGGACAUUUAUUUGGAAGAUAGUAAAAAUAGCGGUAUGUUUAGUGGAAAUAAUUAGGGAAGAAAUAUUAGGGCGAUUGUGCCCUUAUAUCUUAAUAUUCAAUUUUAGGGUGGUUGGACACAAGGAAUACAAUUUUCAUUGAGUCGAUACCAUUUUUCACUGUCAUAUUUUUUCUAUACACUGUCCCUUGUUUUUUGCAAAUGCCAUAUCGGCAUAUCACGUACCCAUAUUGUGUAUUCAGGAAGCCCAUGGGAUACGUGAUAGGCAUACUUGUCUUAAAUGUACCCUAAAAAGAACUUUUGAUACAUGAAUGGUAUGUAUGGCUCAAUAUGUUAGUGUGCAAGUAAACUAGCAGAAACAAAAUAUAUACAGUUCACAUGCCUAUGAGUUGAGUUUAUGAGAGGUUGAGUAUCAUGCACGGGGAAAUAUCAGGUGAAAACUACCGUCUCGUGCAAAUCUGAAAACUCUCGUCCAAAGCCGUUGGAUUGCGAAAGGACGCUUCAGAUGUGAAGCGGAGGCAGCUGCGCUACUUCAUGCCCGCGUACCCUUCUCCUGCCUCCAACUGAGAACAGGCCGCCGCCGUGGCCGUCGGCAACAGCCGGGCCCUCUGCCCUAUGUGACGCUUGAUUGCCUAAAAAGUCUGUCUUCUGCGAUUCCUCGAUCCCUUAGCCCAAUUUGGUGUGGAUUUGAUGGACCGGCUGGUGACUCCGAGAAAUUUAUUCCCCAUCUCCUGACCACGCACUAGAAUUCUCUUAUGCCGAACAGAACAUGGCGUAAUUGGAUGAUUUCAUUGUCCGUAUAUUUUGAUUCAUUCAUGUCGAAAGUGUGCUUGCCUGGAGUCAAUUUUGGGCGUGGGUACUUGUGAGCUUUCAUUUAUUUAUUGUACACGGAUGAGAGUUUGUAGAUUUACUUCUUGGUUCUGCUCACUUUCGUUGGCAUGGAGAAGCAAUCACAAGUUAGCAGAGCAUAAUUUGAUUUCUGCCAUUGACUGUUCUUGGCUGCAGUGGUUAGGGGCCUAGCAGUGAUGAAUUCGUAAAGUUAAUUCACAGCUUAGAAAUCUCCAUCCAUAGGUCCCGUAGGACCGAAUCCAUUUCAGGGCCUAGAAAUUUUCAUUGGUUCACCGGCUGAGGGUUCAGGCAUCGGGUGAGAACAGCAGUUUCGCCGAUCGACAGCAGCAGCAGCCCGCGGGGCGCAUCACCAUAGGGUCAGAUUCAAGUUUGGACGGAGGUAGAGGAAGAGGGCACGAUGGGUUUUUUUUUUCACAAAAAAACAUCAAGUACCAUAGCUGCCUCCGCAUCACAUCUAGACGUCCAUUCCGAAUCCAACGGCUCUGGAUGAGAGUUUUCAGAUUUGCACUAGAUGGGAGUUUUCACCUGAUACUCCCCCAUCAUACACACAACAACACAAUGGUUUAGGUUAUUGGACAUAGGCAUGAUCAGGUAGGUUUUAUAUUAUCCGCCUUCUUCAAAGUUGAGUUAUGUGCACUAACUCAAUUAUUUCUUAUAUAGGUUUGGUUAUUGCUAAGCAUUCCUUGCUGGAUCUAAGAUUGUUGUUGAAUUAGGAUAGGUGGACUUAAGUUCUAACUCUCUAUUUACUGCUCCUCUUUUUAAUAUGUCACUCAGCAACUCCAAGGUAAAGUACUUUCCUAUGUUUUAUUACUGUUCAGUGCACCACUUUAACAUCCGUAAGUUUCUUGCCUUGAGCUUGCAAAAUUGUACAGAUUUUAUCUUAUAGAAAACUUAGGCUUUCAUGCAGCUCUUUUGCACUCUCUUUGUUGAGAAUAAUGUGAAAAGGAGCCAAUUUGUUCCUUUUUUUUACUCGAGUCAUGAUGUAAUGCUUUUGCUAUGUCAAGGAUGUUCCUUUUGUGGUAAGAAACGGUACUCUCACUUCUAGUUUCUAUGUAGUAGUGGUUUUUAAUGAUGCACCACCUUGCACCCUUUUUGGGUUUGAGAAGAAUUACAGGCUAGCAGCUGCAUGCCAAACACCUAGUUCAGCCUUUUUUAGGACAUAGCCCAUUCCUUUAAUGGUUGGUAACCUCUUUUGCUUACUUCGUUUCCUUGAAACUAUUUUCUGUCACUGUGUUGUUGUUGUCGGUUUAACAGGACCGAGCAACUUGAAAGGAUCAAGAAUUACCUGAGAAAGAACUUUUUAGCCAAUUCCAUAGGUUGAAAGGAUCAAGAAUUACCUAAGAACUUUUUAGCCAGUUUCAGAGGUACGAAACUUAAGUCGACUAGGAGGUCAUUGGGAAUUAUUUUGUAAGAACCAACCAUACCAAAUUUUGCAAUAGGGUCAUUCCAUGUCUUUCUUUGUCAUGUGUGCGAUUACGUGUCCCAGGAGGCGUGUAGCAAGGAAGGUGGGCAGCAAGUCCAGAAUUGGCAAUACAGUUAGUCUGCCUUGUUGAGUUAGCUUUCUUAAUGUUUUAAUUUCGCCGUUCUUGUAAGGAAAUAAAAAUGUUACAUACCUGCCUGUUUAGAUUUUUCUCUUUUAAGGAAAAAUGUGCCAUGCACAGUUCAGUUAAACUUCAGCUUUAUUUUCUAUACGCAUAAUAGCCAUUGUGAUGAUGCAUUUUGUUUCUGUUGCCAUUAGCUCUCAUCAUGGUUUUCAAAGCGUCGCCUAAGCGUCGCCUAGUCGACGCUUAGGCGUCGAAGCGCCCGGUGACGUCAAGGCGUCGUUCUCGCCUUAGAUUUCUGACUAAGGCGUCCUGAGACGUCGCGUAGGCGUCCUGGGGCGUCGCCUAGGCGCUGAAAUCGCCUCUUCGAUCCAUUCUGGACGCUCUCGAGCGGGAAACAGAGAUCGGGCGGGAGAAACCAAAAUUGGCAGGCAUAGGCGGGAGAGGAAGUGAAAUUGGAGUAGGGGGAGAGAGGGGAACACCAGGAGCUCCCGCCCAUCCACCUCCGCCGUCAGGAAGCUGCCCACAGCCCGCCAGAUCCCCCGCUGGCCUCUCCCUCAGCGGGAAACAGAGCCAGAAGGCCCAGAACUCAGAAAUCGGUGGGAGAAACUGAAAUUGGUCGGAGAGGAAGAGAAAUUGGAGGGAAAACGAGUUGGGGGAGAGAGAGGGGAACACACCAGUGGUAUAAUUCAUGGGAAAAGAGAGAGAAGAGCUCCCGCCGACCAGAUCCCAUCCUCCUCCGCCAGUCCGUCGCCAGGCUGCUGCCCGCCAGAUCCUCCUCCUCCCCCGCCAGUGGUAUAAAUCGUGGGAAUUCAAGAUAUGAAUCAGGAGCUGUUGAAGUGACCUUUAAGGAAUCCCGCCACAAUAAAUGUUGAUGAAUGAGUGAAAUUAUGCUAGCAAUAUUGUAUAGUACAGCCUUGGGAAUAAACCAGAAUGCUUCUUUCUGUAUCGGCACUCACUUGUCAAUGAUUCAGUUAAUUUGAUCUGUGGGUUUGUACUUUGUACAUUUGAGGAUUUAUCACCGUGCAAGUAUUUGUUAUCAUCAUGUUCUGUUUCUUGCUGGUGUAACUUGGAACACUAAAACUUUUUUGUUGUAGAGGACGUAUCAGUUUACAUUGUAUUGAUAGCUGCUUGGAACUUUGUAGCUU
Brachypodium distachyon (stiff brome) is the source of this 4257-nucleotide long non-coding RNA. RefSeq lists it as uncharacterized. The transcript has 3 exons. Lineage: Eukaryota; Viridiplantae; Streptophyta; Magnoliopsida; Poales; Poaceae. The record is from RefSeq and is a predicted model, not a curated record.